UAGGCGUAAAUGAUGCGAGUUAAGUGUGGGGCGAUCUACGAGAUGGCCCUGUGCUGUAGGGUAGCCGUUAAACUCGCUGCCUGGGGAGUACGGUCGCAAGGCUGAAACUUAAAAGGAAUUGGCGGGGGAGCACCACAACGGGUGGAGCUUGCGGUUUAAUUGGAUUCAACGCCGGAAAUCUUACCGGGACCGACAGCAACAUGAAGGCCAGGCUGAAGACUUUGCCGGAUUAGCUGAGAGGAGGUGCAUGGCGUAGUCGUGU
This 262-nucleotide ribosomal RNA is filed under the name uncultured archaeon. RNAcentral describes it as "partial 16S ribosomal RNA". It matches the Rfam family "Archaeal small subunit ribosomal RNA", at positions 748 to 1009 of the family's 1478-position model. The record is from RNAcentral.